UACAGAGGUCUCAAGCGUUGUUCGGAUUCAUUGGGCGUAAAGCGCGCGUAGGCGGCUCCGCAAGUCGGCCGUGAAAUCUCCAGGCUCAACUUGGAGGGGUCGGGCGAGACUGCGGAGCUCGAGGUGGGCAGAGGGCAGUGGAAUUCCGGGUGUAGUGGUGGAAUGCGUAGAGAUCGGAAAGAACACCAACGGCGAAAGCACUCUGCUGGGCCGACACUGACACUGAGAGACGAAAGCUAGGGGAGCGAAUGGG
This 253-nucleotide ribosomal RNA is filed under the name uncultured bacterium. RNAcentral's name for it is "partial 16S ribosomal RNA". It matches the Rfam family "Bacterial small subunit ribosomal RNA", at positions 524 to 776 of the family's 1533-position model. The record is from RNAcentral.